CAACCUGUCUGUAUUUCAAUGUAGAUCUUUAAACGAAAAAAUGGAAAAAGGAAUUUCAAAAAAACAAAAUCGGACCGUUAUUUGAUUUUGGUUUUGUCAUUUUUCGUUUUUGGAUUCAGAACCAAAAAACGGGAGAACGGCUCUUUUUUUACCGUUUCUUUGUUUUUGGUUUGAAACGACAAACGAAAAACAGGUGGUUUCUCGUUAUUUUGUUUUGUGUUUCAAAACGAAAAAAACAAACUAUCACAAACGUACACGGACCCCUAUACGUGAUACUGCCUUUCACUUUCACUUAUCGGGCCAACACCCUAUAUUCUCCAUAGAACCUGCGUUCAUUUUUUAGUGGAAAAGUGGUGAAAAUGAAGGUCCCUGAAUUGCUCGGAGUGUGUGCACUCUUCCUGUCUGCUGUUUCCAGUGAUGGUGAAGAAGUCGUGUCAGUGCCUGUGUCUGUGGAGGGAGAUCCAGUCACUAUAAACACUGAUGUGACAGUAACCCCACAACAAAGAAUUAAAUGGUUUUAUAAUGACACUCGCAUCGCUCAAAUAAAUGGAGGUCAGAGUUUGAUCUGUACAGAUGUUCAGUGUAAUAAUGGCACUGAGAGAUUCAGAGACAGACUGAAGCUGGAUCAUCAGAACUGGAUCUCUGACCAUCAUGAACUCAAGGACCACAGACUCUGGACUUUAUAGACUACAGAUCAGCAGCAGAAUCAGUAACAAGAUCUUCAAUGUUACAGUCAUUGGUACAUCUGGUGCGGAUAGAGACGUGUGUGUGAUAGAGGGAUAUUCAGUCACUCUAUACACUGAUGUAAAAACAAACCAAAAUGACAGAAUUAAAUGGUAUUUUUAUGACACUCGCAUCGCUCAAAUCACUGGAGAUCUCAGUAAGAUAUGUCAGAGUUUUCAGUGUAAUGAAGGUACUGAGAGAUUCAGAGACAGACUGAAGCUGGACAAUCAGACUGGAUCUCUGACCAUCAUGAACAUCAACACCACAGACUCUGGACUUUAUAAACUACAUAUCAUCAAAAGCAGCAGCGCCAGCAGCAGUGAAAAGAACUUCAAUAUUACUGUCCUUGGUGAGUCAUUUAACAUUUAAAAUUAACGUUUAAAACCGUAAUUUGUUUAGACACAAGUCCCACACUAAAAAUAACCAAAACAGUUAAGAAUUAAGGUUACACUGGAUAUUUCAAAAGAAUAUAAGCAUUAUGGAUAUACUGAUAUUUAUAUACAAACUCCUAUUUAUUAAGA
This is a long non-coding RNA of Cyprinus carpio (common carp), 1244 nucleotides long. RefSeq lists it as uncharacterized. The record is from RefSeq and is a predicted model, not a curated record. NCBI's taxonomy places the organism in Eukaryota, Metazoa, Chordata, Actinopteri, Cypriniformes, Cyprinidae. The transcript is spliced from 3 exons.